UGGUGGGACGCUCUGGAAGAUGUGGGAAAAGUGAGCGUGAUCGUUUUACAGCAGUGAGUGAAGGCCGUCUGAGAGGGAGCCGCUAUCAGCGAGAACAGAGCCAACCGACCGAGAGAAGGGAAGCUGAUCCGCUGACAUGGCGGGGUCCCUUAUCCACCAUUCCUUGAACUCUGAGGAAAACCAGCCGCCUUACCAUGAAGAUACUCAAGCAGCCUUAUGGAGAUGUCUGUGUGGUGAGGAACUCAAGUCUCCUGCCAACAGCCGUGAGGUGGAUGAUAAAUUGCAGAGUCUGAUGCAGCAGGUCUGAGAUGGGGCCCAAGAUUCUGCAUUUCCAGGAAGCUCCCAGGUUUAGUCUAUAUAAAAUAUUCCUGAACAUUAAGACUUUCGGUGGAAGCUGUUGGAAAAUCAUAUUAACAUCCCUAUGUCUGCCGACUUACAAGCUGGAUCACAUUGGAUAG
Molecule: long non-coding RNA, 458 nt
Organism: Zalophus californianus (California sea lion)
Lineage: Eukaryota; Metazoa; Chordata; Mammalia; Carnivora; Otariidae
Exons: 4
Source: RefSeq, a predicted model, not a curated record